Megalobrama amblycephala (Wuchang bream) is the source of this 1431-nucleotide long non-coding RNA. RefSeq lists it as uncharacterized. NCBI's taxonomy places the organism in Eukaryota, Metazoa, Chordata, Actinopteri, Cypriniformes, Xenocyprididae. The transcript is spliced from 2 exons. The record is from RefSeq and is a predicted model, not a curated record.
AAAAGAACCAAACUAAACUCUUCUCCUCCUCACCAUUUCAAAAUAAAAACAACAUAAAGUAUGCGAGGUAUUAUAAACAUCCGUUGACUGUUUUACCACACUAUGCUUUGAAGACCAAGAAAACUGGGCACAUAUUCAUUCUCCAGGCACUCUGCCAAACUGCUCCAAGCACCCUACCUGCCUACUAUCUUAAGUUUCCAGAAUAAGUGAGAAAACACAAUCCAGUUGCAGUUGCAGGGCUGCAUGUUUCCUCCCUGCACUCCGAGACUGAACCCUAAAACACGGACACGAAAACUUUUGACGCAUGGGCGAAAACUCAUGGGGUGUUUAUACAGUGAAACAUGCUGAUCCAUUCCACAUCUGACGAACUACCAUGAGCAUCACAUCAGAGUCGUGCCUCUGAAUACAGCAUCUUUCAUAGAGGAAAAGGUCAACAUUCAGUGAGAGGAAAUCAUCCUGCACAGCUGGACAACCACAGUGCUGGAUCAUCUCAGUAAGAGAAAAGAAGAGAGAGCAAGUACAAAUAUACAACCCUCAGGUGUAAGAGAAGGGAUGAGAAAAAAGAAGAGAAGAACAGUCAAACGGUCAAAGCCCUUAAAAAGCCAGUCCUCUUCUAUGCAACUGACUUUACAUUGCUAUAUUCUUUAAAACUCUAGAUCGAUGAUCUCCUACCUUGAAUAUACAGGUUUUCCCCCCAAAUGAAGGCCUAAUCUGUGCUUAUUAAACCCGUAAGCUCACCUAUAGAAUCCCCUGGACUACCCCUAGUGCGUCACUGGCCACCAGAACCUCCCGCUGGAUUCACAAGGGUGGUUAGAUGUUCUUAGACAUCACAAGCCACUUUCUCUGUUUCAAGCUGACCUUGGAAUGGCCAUUAGGCAUGGCUUUGAACUACUGGAACUAUCUCUCAUAGACCAGUGUCAAGGGUCCCCCUGAGUUGAUAAUGACUUGCUUUCAUAACUGCUGUGACAUUUUGUGAAGGUACGCUAGGCGUGCUCACAGGCCAUAUCUCCAGAAUGCAAUGCUUCCUUUCCCCCUCAGCAGGUGCGAAUCCGAGCUGCAUAGUCUGCGAUUUACAGUGCUGUGUUUGCGCAUCCUGGAAUAAGUAUAAGCCCGGGCACACGCAUAUGUCCAGCCUUGAUAAGCAAUUUGGCUCACUACAGUGUCGACAAGAACUCAGAAUUACCACAGAACGAUGAGUGACUGUAUGAUAUUUGGUUUAAACAUCAUUGCCACAGUUCAGAGAUGAUUUAGCUACAUUAUAUUAUGGAUAUUUUUGGUAUCACAAACCAUAUGCUAUCCCUUGGAUCAAUUGCUUUGGCUUGCAUUGUUUUCAUUUGUAAAUCUUUAAAAGUUACUGCUAAACAAAUAAAUGGAAUGGAAUGAACAAUGCAAUUACAAUUGGCACAAAAUAAAAUGCACUACUUACUAGAA